AUCCGCACCAGUGUCUAA
This 18-nucleotide unclassified non-coding RNA is filed under the name Mus musculus (house mouse). RNAcentral's name for it is "oocyte_clustered_small_RNA4446". The record is from RNAcentral. Lineage: Eukaryota; Metazoa; Chordata; Mammalia; Rodentia; Muridae.